RNAcentral lists this ribosomal RNA (233 nucleotides) under uncultured bacterium. RNAcentral describes it as "partial 16S ribosomal RNA". It matches the Rfam family "Bacterial small subunit ribosomal RNA", at positions 99 to 334 of the family's 1533-position model. The record is from RNAcentral.
CGGACGGGUGGGUAAUGUCUGGGGAACGUGCCUGAUGGAGGGGGGUAACUACUGGAAACGGUAGCUAAUACCGCAUAACGUCGCAAGACCAAAGAGGGGGACCUUAGGGCCUCUCGCCAUCGGAUGUGCCCAGAUGGGAUUAGCUAGUAGGUGGGGUAACGGCUCACCUAGGCGACGAUCCCUAGCUGGUCUGAGAGGAUGACCAGCCACACUGGAACUGAGACACGGUCCAG